UAGUGAGUUUGAUCCUGGCUCAGGGUGAACGCUGGCGGCAGGCUUAACGCAUGCAAGUCGAACGCAUCCUUCGGGGUGAGUGGCAGACGGGUGAGUAACGCGUGGGAACGUGCCCUUCAGUUUGGAAUAACCCAGGGAAACUUGGGCUAAUACCGGAUACGCCCGUAAGGGGAAAGAUUUAUCGCUGAAGGAUCGGCCCGCGUCUGAUUAGCUGGUUGGUAGGGUAAUGGCCUACCAAGGCGACGAUCAGUAGCUGGUCUGAGAGGAUGAUCAGCCACAUUGGGACUGAGACACGGCCCAGACUCCUACGGGAGGCAGCAGUGGGGAAUUUCCGCAAUGGGCGAAAGCCUGACGAGCAAUACCGCGUGA
RNAcentral lists this ribosomal RNA (369 nucleotides) under uncultured Microvirga sp. RNAcentral describes it as "bacterial SSU rRNA". It matches the Rfam family "Bacterial small subunit ribosomal RNA", at positions 1 to 404 of the family's 1533-position model. The record is from RNAcentral. Lineage: Bacteria; Pseudomonadati; Pseudomonadota; Alphaproteobacteria; Hyphomicrobiales; Methylobacteriaceae.